CCUACGGGAGGCAGCAGUGAGGAAUAUUGGUCAAUGGACGAGAGUCUGAACCAGCCAAGUAGCGUGAAGGAUGACUGCCCUAUGGGUUGUAAACUUCUUUUAUAUGGGAAUAAAAUGUUCCACGUGUGGGAUUUUGUAUGUACCAUAUGAAUAAGGAUCGGCUAACUCCGGGCCCGAAGCCGCGGUUAUACGGAGGAUCCGAGCGUUAUCCGGAUUUAUUGGGUUUAAAGGGAGCGGAGGUGGAUUGUUAAGUCAGUUGUGAAAGUUUGCGGCUAAACCGUAAAAGUGCAGUUGAAACUGGCAGUCUUGAGUACAGUAGAGGUGGGCGGAAUUCGUGGUGUAGCGGUGAAAUGCUGAGAUAUCACGAAGAACUCCGAUUGCGAAGGCAGUUCACUGGACUGCAACUGACACUGAGGCUCGAAAGUGUGGGUAUCAAACAGGAUUAGAUACCCUUGUAGUC
Molecule: ribosomal RNA, 460 nt
Filed under: uncultured bacterium
Lineage: Bacteria
Description: partial 16S ribosomal RNA
Rfam family: Bacterial small subunit ribosomal RNA
Source: RNAcentral